AGGUGCUUAGAGAUGAGUGUGCGUCUGAUUAGCUAGGUUGGUGCGGUAACGGCGCCACCGAAGGCGACGAUCAGUAGGGGGCGUGAGAGCGUGGACCCCCACACGGGUACUGAGACACGGACCCGACUCCUACGGGAGGCAGCAGUAAGGAAUAUUGGUCAAUGGAGGAAACUCUGAACCAGCCAUCCCGCGUGCAGGAAGAAUGCCCUAUGGGUUGUAAACUGCUUUUAUCUGGGAAGAAAAGUCGGGAUUUAUCCUGAUCUGACGGUACCAGAGGAAUAAGCACCGGCUAACUCUGUG
Molecule: ribosomal RNA, 300 nt
Filed under: uncultured bacterium
Lineage: Bacteria
Description: bacterial SSU rRNA
Rfam family: Bacterial small subunit ribosomal RNA
Source: RNAcentral